UUCUGAAGUGAUAAAAGCGUAACAAGGUCUCCGUAGGUGAACCUGCGGAGGGAUCAUUAC
Molecule: ribosomal RNA, 60 nt
Filed under: Alternaria sp. MY-2011
Lineage: Eukaryota; Fungi; Ascomycota; Dothideomycetes; Pleosporales; Pleosporaceae
Description: partial 18S small subunit ribosomal RNA
Rfam family: Eukaryotic small subunit ribosomal RNA
Source: RNAcentral